RNAcentral lists this ribosomal RNA (250 nucleotides) under uncultured bacterium. Its description in RNAcentral is "partial 16S ribosomal RNA". It matches the Rfam family "Bacterial small subunit ribosomal RNA", at positions 524 to 773 of the family's 1533-position model. The record is from RNAcentral.
UACAGAGGGUGCGAGCGUUAAUCGGAAUUACUGGGCGUAAAGCGUGCGUAGGCGGUUUAGUAAGUCAGAUGUGAAAGCCCCGGGCUUAACCUGGGAAUUGCAUUUGAAACUGCUGAACUAGAGUGUGGUAGAGGGAAGUGGAAUUCCGGGUGUAGCGGUGAAAUGCGUAGAUAUCCGGAGGAACACCAGUGGCGAAGGCGACUUCCUGGACCAACACUGACGCUGAGGUACGAAAGCGUGGGUAGCAAAC